GUAUUAGUUUAUAGGGUAGAACCCAUAUAAGACAUUCAUAACAUUUUGAGUUUGUAAAGACAUAAGCCAUGACAUGCAAGGGAAGCCCGAAAGCAGUCCCUCAGAAUCCAGUCUUGCGACCGACAAAUAUAUCAUAGCCUACAAAAGGUGCACAGGUGGUAAGAAAGAAAGGGCGAGCACAUGCUCAUAAGAGCCAGCUGCAACCCUCAACUUCAGUAAUGAUCCUUCCGCAGGUUCACCUACGGAAA
Molecule: unclassified non-coding RNA, 248 nt
Filed under: uncultured fungus
Lineage: Eukaryota; Fungi
Description: sequence contains ITS1
Source: RNAcentral